CAGUAGCCGCGGUAAAACGUAGGUGGCAAGCGUUAUCCGGAAUUAUUGGGCGUAAAGCGCGCGUAGGCGGUUUUUUAAGUCUGAUGUGUAAGCCCACGGCUCAACCGUGGAGGGUCAUUGGAGACUGGAAAACUUGAGUGCAGAAGAGGAAAGUGGAAUUCCAUGUGUAGCGGUGAAAUGCGCAGAGAUAUGGAGGAACACCAGUGGCGAAGGCGACUUUCUGGUCUGUAACUGACGCUGAUGUGCGAAAGCGUGGGGAUCAAACAGGAUUAGAUACCCCUGUAGUCCCUGUCUCUUAUAC
Molecule: ribosomal RNA, 301 nt
Filed under: uncultured bacterium
Lineage: Bacteria
Description: partial 16S ribosomal RNA
Rfam family: Bacterial small subunit ribosomal RNA
Source: RNAcentral